Tripterygium wilfordii is the source of this 72-nucleotide small nucleolar RNA. RefSeq annotates it as small nucleolar RNA Z105. The transcript has a single exon. The record is from RefSeq and is a predicted model, not a curated record. Lineage: Eukaryota; Viridiplantae; Streptophyta; Magnoliopsida; Celastrales; Celastraceae.
GCAUAAUGAUGAUGAAAUAUUCAAACCUCAAAUGUCUCAGAUGAUGAAUUGAAUACCUCCUACUCAUUCUGA